AAUAACAGAGUAUUUUUAUAAAAUUAGUAUAUACUAGCUACAUUUGAACAUUGCACAAAUAAUACUAGAUUUAUAUCAACAAAAUAUAGUUCUUUUAUAUAUUAGGACCAAUAGGCUUGGCUUGUGUUCUACGUCGUGCUAACUCGGACAUGACAACAGGACCAAUAUGAGGUGAUCUUGGACUGCUAGACAUUGCUCUAUAUGUUGCAGCUACUGCUAUCUAAAAAUAUAUUUAUUAAUUUUAUCAAUUUAAUCAUGAAUAUUUAUAUUUCAAAUAAUUUUAAUACAUAAUUUUUAUAUUUCAAAUACAUAUUGAGCAAAUAUACCUUUAGGCUAUGUGGAUCUUUAGUACUUUCAGGUAAUAUUUUUUGUGGAAGACGAUGACGAUUUGCAAUCCACGGAUAUUUUAAUAUGGCAGCUGCAGUAGGCCUUCGAUUAGGAUCAACAUGUAACAUUCUUUUAACAAGUUCUUUUGCUUCAUUCGAAAUUUGACACCAUAUGCCACUUUCGACAUCAAUAUAACCAGGUCCAAUACGAUCUAGUAUAUCCGUUGCACUAUCACCAGGACUAUUGCGAAAUGGUGUAUAUCUAAAAAAAUGUAUGUAAUGUAAUGAUGUAAUGUAAUAGUUUACAAGUUAUACAUAA
Long non-coding RNA from Apis cerana (Asiatic honeybee), 645 nucleotides. RefSeq lists it as uncharacterized. Lineage: Eukaryota; Metazoa; Arthropoda; Insecta; Hymenoptera; Apidae. The record is from RefSeq and is a predicted model, not a curated record.